This 512-nucleotide ribosomal RNA is filed under the name fungal endophyte sp. 6R2.10. Its description in RNAcentral is "eukaryotic LSU rRNA". The stretch from base 158 to 311 matches the Rfam family "5.8S ribosomal RNA". Lineage: Eukaryota; Fungi. The record is from RNAcentral.
AGGUGAACCUGCGGAAGGAUCAUUAACAGGAUUCCUGCCUUAUAGGUAGAAACCCCACCCGUGUGUACCUAUGUAUAUCUUGCUUUGGCAGGUCCGCCUGCCGAAGGAACCCUUAACUCUGUUUGUUAGUGUCGUCUGAGUACUAUCUAAUAGUUAAAACUUUCAACAACGGAUCUCUUGGUUCUGGCAUCGAUGAAGAACGCAGCGAAAUGCGAUAAGUAAUGUGAAUUGCAGAAUUCAGUGAAUCAUCGAAUCUUUGAACGCACAUUGCGCCCCUUGGUAUUCCGAGGGGCAUGCCUGUCCGAGCUUCAUUAAAACCACUCCUGCCCACAAAUGGCGGGGUCUUGGGCUUCGCCACAAGGCGGGUCUUAAAUGCAGUGGCGGUGCCGUGCCAGCUCUAAGCGUAGUAAAUCUCCUCGCUAUAGACGCUGCGCGUGCCCUAGCCAGCAACCUCAAAUCUUCAAGGUUGAACUCGGAUCAGGUAGGGAUACCCGCUGAACUUAAGCAUAUCA